Molecule: non-coding RNA, 2666 nt
Organism: Physcomitrium patens
Lineage: Eukaryota; Viridiplantae; Streptophyta; Bryopsida; Funariales; Funariaceae
Source: RefSeq, a predicted model, not a curated record
CUACUCUGGCAGUUCCCCACUCCAUCUCUACUUCUUCACUCGUAGAUGCCAACUACACUGCCCAAACUGCCUCUCGCAGUCCGCGUCCACGUAUCUCGAGUUCUUGUCUACAGGACCGUCACUAAUGUGGCAACUUUUUUACCUUACCUUUCCGAGGGAGCUGCGAUUCCUUGGUUGAUGAAGUCUUCGAUGGGUGCAUCAUUGAGAGAGUGAGGACUUUGGCCUGUUGGUCUCGGUAGGGGUGUCGGCGACGGGAAGCGAUGCGAACUGUGGGGGGUUGAGUUGUGUAGCGAUAUUGAUCGCUAAUGUAGCUGCAGUAGCAUGGUGGUGGAAUGGGCCGCUUCUUUCUUUCAGUUGCAGUCUUGCCUCGUCUAUCAUGUGCUGAGGGAAGGAUUUUUGCAUUGAUAGUGUCUAUGACGUGGUCGUCGGUGUGACGAAACCCUGGUUGUAGCGACUGGUGCAUGCAUCGGCUGGGAUCAUUUCUAGGGUGAUCACCAGUUUUAGGAAAUCGCAAUUCGAUGCCAUAAGCAUUGGAGUUGAGCAGGAUGCCGAGGUUGAGGCGCUAUUGCAGGCGAGAAGGUGCGAUCGACUACCAGAUGCCUGGUGCCAAUCCUGGUACCCUGAGACUGAAUGCUUGUGCCCGCUUUCUUGCAGCGUCAAUACUGUCGGGCAAGGGGGUAACUGAUGAUGAUAAGAACUUGAGGUGAGACAGAAUAAUGCCGCAUUCGAUUUCUCUUAGUUUGUAUCGACCGGCGAAUCCCUCGACGUUGUCUCUGCCGCAGAGGUAAGAUAGCUCUGACUGACAUCUAUGGUAAGUUCCUGCAGGUAGAAAGGAUCCUCUUUGAGCUUGAUGUAAUCUCCAAGUCCUGCAGGUGAGCACUGUUAGGGUCUGUUUCUGGUGCCUUUAAUCUCACGCAGGGGCAUCUGGAUUGUUUCGGCGUGGAACAGACAAGUACUGAACUGCUCUACACGUCAUGCUGACACUAAGAUAACUAGUGGUACUGCUCAUCAUUAGCAGCUCAUAAGUUUUCUCACAAGGUUUGAAGAAUAUGAACCACGCGGGAUGAUGACAAUGUUUGCCCGUGUAAGCCAUAUGAAAUUCCACCUAAUGAAUGAUAUGAGGACCAGAGCCCUGCAGCAGCUAAAGAACAAGAUUCGUUCCUCCUGGUGAACUUGACUUCAUGAAGUUGCUGAUAACACGAGAUUUGGUGUGAGCAGAUGUCCGAUGGAUUCUAUUCAAUUGGAUCCAUACGAUGGAGCAUUAACCUUGAUUUUUUGUGGUAAAUGCUGUGCUCUUUCAGUGACCGAGGUUCAGGCCAGCUUCUAAUCCCUGAGGCAGAUUGCCUGUCGAAUGCCUCCUGUGUUAUGAUAUUCGUCUGCUGCAGGUCGGCUUGGAGAUUGGAUGGGACUUUGUCGUGGGGAUUGACGCAUGGCACGAAGCUAACAUCCUGAGAUCAGUUGCUUCGGACCAGGCUUCAUUCCCCUUGCCUAAGUUGCAUCAUGUAGUGCUCAAGACAAGACUUUCGAAGAUCUUCGGUGUGUGUGGCGCUUUGUCGAAGAUGUUAUAUAUAUGUGACAUUGCCGUGAGGAAUGACGUGUGGCCCGAAGCCAUAUCUUGGGUUGCCUUGAUGAAGCUCCGGACCAGGCUUCAUUCCCCUCGGCAGAGUUGCAACAAGUGGGAAAGGGCUGUCCUUUAAGUUGUGCAAUAUCCUGGUACCUCACGGUCAGAACGUUGAUAUGCGCAGUACAAUCCGAGAAGCCGUGAGGAAAUGACCAGUGGCUUGACAUCAUCUUUGCAUAUCAAACUGAUAUCCGGGCCGAGCACUAUUCCUGUUCUUAAGGAUACGUGACAAUACUGCGAACAAGAUUCGGUUGAAGCCGACGGUCAGUUUGUGGCUAGUAUAAAAACUCCAACUUGGGACUCAGCAGUACGGAAUGGGUUGUAUAUGUUAGGCCUCUGUUUAAUUCGCGGCUCCGGAUCGGGCUCCAUUUCGCCCGCCUAUGUUUUAUGCUGAUUCACAUUUCAUGAGACGAUGCUAAGCGGAGAGAUCGUGCAAUUCGUAUAUGCCAAGAUCUGAUGCUUUGUCAGCAUGUCUCCAAGUUUCGACUCGGGCAUGACUUCUCUCCGCUCAGUAACAUUCAGAGCAUCGACGGUGACUUGUUCAGCAAGACAACGUGCGUCUGUUUCCCACGGUCUAGAAAUUAUCAUAGCACUGAACAGCAGGUCACUCCAUCGCAACUGGAUCUACGUUUAGUCUCUCAUCAGUACCGUCUUUAAGGAGGAAACAUGCUUGAGAAAUGACCUUUGUGUGGAGGUUGUCUGCUUCCAACCUUGGCCUUGGUGAUCAUGUUAGUGAGCAGGAUGAGUGUGCGGGAAGUGGCAGUUGCACCGUCACUUUGCCAAUUCCUCGUAGAGGAAAGGAUAAGUAGAUCAAGUACAAAUGUGAGAAGUGGCUUGUAUGCAAAUAUAUGUGACGUGAAUGAUUGCCCAGAUGUCGGAAGUGGGAAGUAUGCGUUGUACCAUAGACGAUUAAGGCAACACGGAGCUUGUUAGAUUAUUCAGUUUCCAUUCCCAUUUGGUAGAUCGCUACCGAUCUGAUGUACAGCCUCCACUGAGGAGAAAUACAUGUCAGUACCUUACUGAUCUACUUUCCCUUUUCGAUUGC